AAAGGGUGUAUAAGGCAAGCUUCUAACUUAUCCUUACAGCUAAUCAGUUGGCCCUUUU
This 58-nucleotide transfer RNA is filed under the name Heterocypris spadix. RNAcentral's name for it is "tRNA-Ser1". Lineage: Eukaryota; Metazoa; Arthropoda; Ostracoda; Podocopida; Cyprididae. The record is from RNAcentral.